This 232-nucleotide long non-coding RNA is filed under the name Capsella rubella. RNAcentral describes it as "long non-coding RNA (CRUB_LNC001312)". The record is from RNAcentral. Lineage: Eukaryota; Viridiplantae; Streptophyta; Magnoliopsida; Brassicales; Brassicaceae.
GUGACUAUGUAUAGACAGUCAAUGUUUGUGGAAAAAAUCCAUGUACAUUAAUUAUCUCUUCGUUGACUUCUGAGAAAGUUAAAAACAUUCUCCCCGAACCCUUUUUACUUAGACAAUGGGUUCAAAUAAGACAGGUUCCAUUAUAACUGUAUCGGCCAAUCAGUAUAUUUUAGAAUAAAUCAUGAUGAAUUUAUAUAUUUAUUCUUUUCCUUUAUUAAAAAGAAAAAAAAAC